UCAAAAUAAACAAACAAAAGGGAGCCUUCACAAAGGUUGCUUAGGGGAAGUCUCAGCAGUCGGUAGAGCCCCAGAAAGAGAAAGCACCGGAGGGUGGUUAUCCGGAGCCUCAGUACUUGACAAAACCCCAGAAGGAGGAGGCAUUGGAGGUUCAUCAUUUGAAGCUUCAUUACCAGGUACAGCCCCAGAGGACGAAGGCAAUAAAUGCCUUUGGAACAAACCCACAAACCGCUGAUGAUCAAGUAAAACCUUAUCAUCAGAUUCCUUCAUCUGAUCAAGCUUCCUCUUCAUGUUUGUAGCAUAGUCAUGGGCGAGCCGGUGCAACUGCUUAUUCUCAUGCUUGAGCCCUCUAAUCUCCUGUUUGAGACUCAUCACUUCAGCAGCCAAUGAUUCAACUUGGCGGGUUCUAGCAAAUAGGCGUUGGGCCAUAUUAGACACAGAACCUGCACACUGAACACUAAGAGCCAGAGAGUCCUUAACAACCAACUCAUCAGACCGUUUGGAAAGUAGUCUGUUAUCUUUGGGAGUGAGAAGGUUCCUGGCCACCACUGCAGCGGUCAUAUCAUUCUUCAUCACAGAAUCCCCAACGGUAAGAGGACCAGUAGGGGAUAUGAAGGAUGGGCGCCAUAUGUUGUCUGGAGAAGGCGUGGCUGUCUCUUCUCCAAGGUUCAAGGUCAAAACGACGGUCGGAGGGUCCAGACAUUUUCAAAUGUGUUGAAGAAGGAAGAGGUCAGACAAAUCAAGAUCUUAGAAGUGCAAGAAAUGAGCUUCUACUGGUAGAGAUUCAGGUGUGCUGUGGAACUUAAUGCCAGCCUCUAUAAAAAUCUGCACUCGACGGAGCUUCAGAAAUCGAAGAGGCGUUUUGCUUUCUCAAAAGCUGGGCUGCUCAGAGACCACGAGGGCCGAUCUCAGAAAUCGAAGAGGCGUUUGCUUUCUCAAAAGCUGGGCUGCUCAGAGACCACGAGGGACGAUCUCAGAAAUCGAAGAAGCACCUGCUUUUUCAGCCUCGUCAGCACCUGUCACAUGCACAAUCAGCUUUGCGAAAUUACGGGCAAUCUGUCGAAGAUUUCUGGUGAAGUAAAAAAGCACGUGAAUCUUACUGUUCAAUCACCGCUCUCCAUAUGCACCAUCAACUCCUCGGGUACCACAUAUAACUUUGUCAAAGAUCUCUGACAAAGUUUAGGCACGAGAAUUUCGAAGUUCCAGCUACCCUACUAUUACCCAUAAGGGUAAAGGAACAGCACCACUGCUUGACAACUGGAAAGUCCCUAUGUGUGUCGACCUCCGUGUUUUGCGGCAAGACAGGUUGGCAAGAACGUCCAACCUUUACUCACAUUCGAGAAAAGACUCCCAACAUAAUUACUUUCUCAAAAACCGGAGUAGCACCGCUUUCCGAAUCUCGAGAGUCAGAUCCUCGACGGGAUUGCUUGUUCGAAAACCGAAGAGGCACAACUCUCAGAACUUCGAGAGCCAGAUUUCCUUAGAUAAAGCUUGUCUGUAAUCUUCACACGUAACAUCAGCUUUCCAGAUACCACAUACCACUUUUUCAAAGUGCUCUGACAAAAUUAAAACACGUGAAGCUGGCAGCUCCCACUACAUUGCUGUGACCAAGAAGGGUAAAGGAAUAUCAUUACUACUUGUUAUUGGGAAAUCCCUAUAUACAUUGACCUCCCUCCUCAACGGACAGGCAAACCUGCAAAAAUGCUUAACCCUUUCUCGCAUUCGAAAAGGCACCCUCAACAUAACCUCUCGAAAUACUCAGCUUUAUUUCCCCCCGAUAAUACCUCAGCAAAUAAGCCACACCAAGAACAAGAGUAUCUCAUAUCAUCAGGGUCGAAAGCAAGAGUAUCCCAUAUCAUGCUUUCUCCCUAUCUUUGUCUUUGUCCUUGUCCACACCUGCAGGACAAGGAGAAAGAGAGCAGUCAGUCGGAACCUGAAAUCAAACCUCCAAUUUGGAACUGACUGCCUGGAGCCUUUGCCUAGUUGCUUACUUAGCAUUGCUCUCGAGUACUCAUCCUCAACUGCUGUCAAGGUCACGAAUUCCACCGGCAAAUACCUCAUGACAGUUGAUCAGAUAUUGGCUCUUUACACUGAAGCUGCCAAGCGUGGAUGAGUCACUAUGAAGGAAUGUUCUGAAUGACCAUUUAAAUGCAAAGGUUGCACACCACUUCUGCCAUGCAAAAGAUUGAAGCAGAAGGUUCAACGGUGAGCUGAAACAGAUCACUACAGCACGACACCUUUCCAUACCACAUUCAUUAUUCCGUCAACAGCAAAAGUAUCCCAUAUCAUCAAGGUCGAACGUACUCUAGAUUUGAUGGACUUGUUUUGACCCUCAAAUUUUUGAGUCGGCCUUAUACUCUGAAGGGCACCAGAAAACCCUCCAGCACAGUUCAAGAAUAAGCAUGUGGAAAGUUACUUCUUCAAAAGCAAAAGUAUCUCAUAUCAUCUCUUAUCCAUUUGCUUCUCCUUAUCCUGGCAAUUGAAUGAGAGACAAGGAGAAGGAGAACAAUCAACCGGAAGCCGAAGUCAAACCUCUGAUCCUGGGUUGCUUACUUGGAAGUUUGACUGCUUACCUUGUCUGUCACCUCUUUCGGCAGAUCUCCUAGCUCGGCGACUUGGGGGACUCCUACUAUAGGGUUUGUAUCACACUUGACUAAGCCCGAAACUACAACUAAGCUUCAAGUGAAAUUGAUACAUUACCUUGUGCGUCAACAUCAGCUAAAUACACCAUUCCCGGAUGGAGGAAAGGUACUUCCAGAGAAGGGCAGAUGAAGAUCAGACCACACUUCGGUACUUAGAAGUUUCGUGAUUACUCAAGGGAUUGGAUCUUGCAAGUCCCCAACCGAGGAGUUUCCCUCACUCGGGAACUUAGGGGAGCACUGUUUGUACCAUACUUGACCAAUCCCGAAACUACCGAGCACCGGCCAACGCUAUACUGUCAAUGACCCAUAAGAGUUCCCCUCCGACCAGGAGGCCAAUCACUAUUAGAAGCCAAUCAGAGCGCAGCACGUGUCGACAUCAAGAACCAAUCAUAACAUGACACAUGUCAAUGUGACAAAGCUACAAGUUUUUCUAUAAAUAGGGGUCAUUCCCCCACAAUAUUGCCUAAUGCCAUUUGUGUUAAAUCAUUCACAAGAACUCACUAAAUUGAGAGCUUGAUCCUUUGUACUUGUGUAAGCCCUUCACUACUAAUAAGAACUCCUCUACUCCGUGGACGUAGCCAAUCUGGGUGAACCACGUACAUCCUGUGUUUGCUUCUCUGUCUCUAUUCAUUUACGUACUUAUCCUCACUAGUGACCGAAGCAACCAAGCGAAGGUCACAAAACCUGACACUUUCUGUUGUACCAAAGUCUUCGCUGAUUUUGUGCAUCAACAAGAGUAAACUUUAUACAUGUGGCCGAGUCCAGUUUGGCCAGGAAGGCCCUCUAAUUGGCUCGCACCCGUCGAAACCCUAAGAUGGGUGUUCUUCAAUUCGGCUUCCUUGGUGUUCCAACGUCCCACCCACCAGUUGGGUCUUGUUCCUAGGUCCAAGGGAAGUUGAUUAAGGGUGAUGAUGAAUGAUGAUACUCUCCGGAACGACAAUUUGUCGUCGAAAACCCCCGGGUUCUCUUGUGGAGUUCUACUCGAAUUAGGCCUUAAAAAUCCUUGAUUUCUUGUGGAGAUGGAAGGAAGAACAUAGUUGAGCAAGUUGCAGGUGAAGGAGAUAGGAAAAUCAGAUGAGAAAUGGAGGAAUUUGCCUGAAAUUGGCCGAUUUGAAAGUGUGCUGGUGGAGCACACGACAGGUUCACAAAUGGGGGAGGGAGGAUUUUUGCUUUUCUCCUUUUAAUUGGCCUUUUCUACCCUCCAAAAAUCUGAUUGUCCCCUUUUUAUUAUUAGACUAACUUAAUCUUUAGCCCACAUGUGGAAAUUAAACAAUUCCCACAAUUUAUAGUUCACAACUUCAAACAUAAAUAAUUAUACCGUUAUAAUUCGGACUCGCAAACGGCUUCUGCCUAUGCAUUCGUGGGUUCGAGAUCUAUUUAAAAACACUAGUUGUAACUUCGAAAUAUCAACGAAAGAUAAAGAUUGAUCAAGAAACUUCCAACUCGAUAACUAAUCAAUUGCUAAACUUAUAAUUAGAGGAAUUAAAUUAACUAAUAAAGAUAACGUAAUCACGAAAUACGAAUUUAAGAUACGAAAUACGUAAUAAAUGGUGAAAUUCCGGGGAUUUCACAGUAAUUGACCCUUAUAUAUAGCUAAGGUAAACUAAAUUAUAACCUCCACUACUUCUUCUUCUAUUUUCUUCUAUCAUAUUUGUCUUCCUUUUCUCUCUCCUUGUAUGAAAUAUUUUAGUUGAAAAGUCUUGGCAUUCUUCAACAUUACUCUAUAGUAUCCUACAUCCACCAUCGACAAGUCUCUACAAAUAAUAUUAGUUGUCGACAUAUAUUGGGAUAAACUUUCAACAUAUGUUGACAAGAAUUGGUAAGUGUCUAUUAGGUGUUCGACGAAAUGACCCAAUGAAGUUUUUUUGUUGAUAUUAUGAUCUCAUUAUUUAAAAAUCUUGUCUACGCCAUUAGGUGUGAGAUUAUAUAUACCAAUAUGGACAUUUUUACGGUAUAUAUUUGCCUCCCCAGUCCCCAAGUCCUAGCUGCAACAACGUCCAAUACUGAACCUGAACACUGAAGGAGUUAGUUCAUUCGAACGCUCUAGGUCAGAACUAAUUUACUUAGAACAAGACCCCCAACUCCUGGCAUUUACUUCCCUUCCCUAGAUCCAAUCCAAGUCCAGCUAGCUGCUUUCGACUAGACUAAUAUUUUAUUAAACCAUUAUCCACUGUCAAACUGCAAACUUGGAUAUUCGAGCUUCAGGAGCUCCCUUGGGCCUUGGCAAUGGCAUCAUUUCGCUCCCGUUAUCAAUCCUAUUCCUAUUUCCUACGUUUAUCUCAAAAACCAGAGAAAUAUAUUACAAUUUAGACAACAAAAGAGUCUACAAAAUGUGGAGGGAGGUGGUGCUGCCUAGUUCGGAGGAAAGGAUGCUCGCGAACCCCCCAUGGACAUUGUUGCAGCAGAGAAACCCUAGCCGGUGCUGGUGGUGGGCAAGCUAGGAAGGGAGUCCCAACUCCCAACUCUCAAGGGUGGGACGGAGGUUAACGGUCCGUUUAAACUACCAAAAGCGAAACGGUUUUAUAGCUCCAAUCAGAAUCAGGUGGUUCUACGACUAAGAUCGAGUAAAUAGAAAAUCUGAAAAAGUUACGUGGCAGCUCUAAGGUUUACGUGGGAUACUCCAUCAUGUUCCGCAACACACAAGAUAGGCCCUCGGGUUUGAGAAAUUUUAGUACACCAUAUGUUUUAUAUAAAUAAAGACUAUUUUUUUUAUAAGUACAUUGAUUUUUUUUUAUACUAAAUCUAAAUUAUAAAAUAGACAGCUUAAUUUGGUAUCAAAUCUGUCAUCUACGAGAUUUAAGUUUAAGACCAUUCACUUUCAAGUAAAAAGAAAUACUAGUACGGUUGAAUAACUUAUUUUUAAGUUAAUAAUUUUUUAACACAAAUAUUUCACCAUUUGUAAUCCUACCGUAACAUCCGUAUUUCGAACCAGUGAAAAAUCUCUCCUCAGUUGGCGUUUCCCUCCGCUAAAACUAUCGCCACCCGAAACAAAACAAACCGAUAAAAUACUCAAUAGAAUACCAUUAACCAUACCCAGUUGAGUAAUUCAGUUGGCUGGGGUUUGUCGCCGCUUAACAGCCAUCCCCAACUGCAACACCACAACUUCUUUGGUGGAGGAGGAGGAGGAGCCGCCGUUUGAGGAGGUAGAUGCUCAACUCAGCUCUCUCACUAGUAAAUUGAGUCAACCAAAUUCAAAGGAAGUGUAAAGAUGAUGCUUCUGCCAGUGCCAGGUUCGACUUGCUUCCCUUCCAUUCAAUUGGCUUCUCCGACACUCAUCCGCCACCACCACCAUGUCUGGCCUCUGUCCGCCACCGCAGCCGCUGCCGUCACCAAUUCAUCCGAACCCCAUCUGCCCCCAAUUCCAUCUUCCUCAACUACGAUUCAUUUAACCUCAACCUCGAGACGACGCCGCUUUGGGGACGACCAAGCUGCCGCUUCCCCCUACGACUUCGGUCCCCUCCUCACCUUCCUCGCCAACUCAUUGUCAUCCGAUAAUGAUUCCGCCUCCUCCUCUUCCUCUUCGUCCUCCUCCUCCUCUUCCUCUUCGUCCUCCUCCUCCUCCACCUCCUCUCCAACCUCACUCGACCCGUCCGAGUUCCAGCUGGCCCAGUCCUACCGCGCUGUCCCUGCUCCACUCUGGCACUCCCUCCUCAAGUCCCUCUGCGCCUCCCACUCCUCCUCCGACAUUGGACUUGCCUACGCCGUCGUUUCGUGGCUCCAAAAGCACAACCUCUGCUUCUCCUACGAACUCCUCUACUCCAUCCUCAUCCACGCCCUCGGCCGCUCCGAGAAGCUCUACGAGGCUUUCUUGCUCUCCCAGCGCCAAUCCCUCACUCCCCUCACCUACAAUGCUCUCAUCGGCGCCUGUGCUCGCAACGGCGACCUCGAGAAGGCACUCCAUUUGAUGUCCCGCAUGCGCCAGGACGGUUACCGCUCCGACUUCGUCAACUACAGCUUGAUCAUUCAGUCCCUCACCCGCUCCAAUAAGAUUGAUUCCCCAAUCAUGUUCAAGCUCUACAGGGAGAUUGAGUCCGAGAGCAUUGAGAUUGAUGGCCAGCUCUUCAACGACAUCAUUGCUGGUUUCGCCAAAGCCGGCGAGCCCUCCCAGGCUGUGCACCUUCUGGCCAUGGUCCAGGCCACUGGCUUGAGCCCCAAAACUGCCACUCUGGUUGCUGUCAUCUCAGCCUUGGGGAAUUCCGGCAGGGUCGUUGAAGCCGAAGCUAUCUUUGAGGAAAUGAGAGAAGGAGGAUUGCAACCCAGGACUAGGGCUUACAAUGCCCUUCUCAAAGGCUAUGUGAAGGCAGGUCAACUGAAAGAUGCCGAAUCCAUUGUGUCCCAGAUGGAGAAGAGCGGUAUUUCUCCUGAUGAGCACACUUACAGCCUGCUCAUUGAUGCCUAUGCGAAUGCAGGUAGGUGGGAAAGCGCAAGAAUUGUGUUGAAAGAGAUGGAAGCUAGCAAUGUGCAGCCUAAUUCCUAUGUUUUCAGCAGGAUUUUAGCCAGCUACCGUGAUAGAGGGGAGUGGCAAAAGUCGUUCCAAGUUUUGAGGGAGAUGAAGAGCAGUGGAGUAAGACCCGAUAGGCAUUUUUACAAUGUCAUGAUUGACACUUUUGGAAAGUCCAACUGUCUUGAUCAUGCUAUGGCUACCUUUGAAAGGAUGCUAUCUGAGGGAAUCCACCCGGACACCGUCACCUGGAAUACGCUUAUAGAUUGUCAUUGCAAGUCAGGCCACCAUGUAAGGGCGGAGGAGUUGUUUGAGGAAAUGCAGCAAAGUGGGUGCGCCCCUUGCGCCACCACCUAUAACAUCAUGAUCAAUUCCUUUGGGGAGCAGCAAAGAUGGGAUGAGGUGAAAGGCUUGUUGGGGAAGAUGCAGUCUCAGGGUUUACUGCCUAACAUAGUUACCUAUACCACAUUAGUUGACAUUUAUGGAAAGUCGGGGAGAUUUACUGAUGCAAUAGAGUGUUUGGAGGUUAUGAAGUCUGCAGGCAUGAAGCCAUCCCCGACGAUGUACAAUGCCCUAAUUAAUGCCUAUGCACAAAGAGUAAGUUGUCUUCCUUACUCUAAUGUUAAUGUGUGUGCGUGUGUACUUGUAUGCCGAUGCUCUGUGUGUGUGUGUGUGUAUUUACUUACUUGUAUUCCGAUGCUGAAGCGUGUGUGUGUGUGUGGAGUGUGUGUGUGUGUGUGUAUUUACUUACUUUUAGAUAGAUAUCAACCAGAAAGCUAUUCUUCUUACUUCAGACUACCAGUUUUGUCUUUCUGUUUGGAGUGUGUGUGUGUGUGUGUUUUUACUUGUAUUCCGAUGCUGAAGCUUUUAGAUAGAUAUCAACCAGAAAGCUAUUCUUCUUACUUCAGACUACCAGUUUUGUCUUUCUGUUUGGAGUGUGUGUGUGUGUGUGUGUAUUUACUUACUUGUAUUCCGAUGCUGAAGCUUUUAGAUAGAUAUCAACCAGAAAGCUAUUCUUCUUACUUCAGACUACCAGUUUUGUCUUUCUGUUUGGUGUGUGUGUGUGUGUGUUUAUUUACUUGUAUUCCGAUGCUGAAGCUUUUAGAUAGAUAUCAACCAGAAAGCUAUUCUUCUUACUUCAGACUACCAGUUUUGUCUUUCUGUUUGGAUCCCUGAUAGUGAAUUGGAUUGUCUUAUCGUGAGUGUGAGGGUUGAGCAUCCAUUUGAUUUGAUCUUCCUUGUGAAUCUUUGACAGGGUUUGUCAGAGCAAGCACUGAACGCGUUUAGGGUAAUGAGAGCAGAUGGAUUAAAACCCAGUCCCUUGGCUCUCAAUUCGUUAAUCAACGCAUUUGGUGAAGAUAGAAGGGAUACUGAGGCCUUUUCUGUGUUGCAGUACAUGAAGGAAAAUGUAAGUUAUUUAUAAUGUUGUGACAGUCACUGAUACUGCACUGAUUGGUACAAAAAUUGAUCUUGUUUCCUUGUAACUGCAGGACCUGAAACCAGAUGUAGUUACGUAUACUACACUUAUGAAAACCCUUAUCCGUGUUGAUAAAUUUUGUAAGGUAUGAAUUUCAUAUAAUAUUAGCAUAGAUAACCGUUGCAUGCAUAACAGCCAGGCUUUCAGCUUAUAAGGUUUUAUUGAAUAUUUUACCAUUUCACUUCUGUGUAUGCACACAGGUAUGUAUGUAUGUAUGUAUACACACACACACACACACACAUACAUAUAUUUGAUUUUGAAUGUAUAAGUUGCAUGAUUUUGGUUUCAGGUUCCAGCGGUGUAUGAAGAAAUGAUUAUGUCUGGCUGCACUCCAGAUAGGAAAGCGAGGGCAAUGUUACGGUCUGCGCUGAAAUACAUGAAACAGACACUCAGAUCCUAAAUGACAUGAUUUGAGUCAUACAGCCACAGUUAAAUGUGUUCACCUAUUAUUUUGGUCUAGUCAGGUCUGGUACGAAGGUUAGGCCAAACCCGUUUAUCUUUAUGAUAGUCAAAAUUUUGUGGAAUUAAGUUUCACAUAUGCCAGCAUCUUCGACAGUCUGAUGAUUUUGCAGGAAUGAUGAUUCGCACUGGCCAUCGUGCAAGAGUAUCCAAUAUCAAGGGCAAUCGUGUUCCGGAGUAUGGGAACAAUGACACUGAGCACACCCUAGUGACAGACACAAGAACAGCUGAAGAAAUACACCCCCAUCACCAUUAGCAUUACCAUUACCAUUACCUCACUCAAAUUUUGGGUUGUAAUUGUUUUCCAUAAGCACCGCUGCACCAGAUAAAAUGUGAUUCAUUGCUUGUAUCUUGUAAAAAUUUGUCCGAUUAUUUUUCAUCAUAAAGUAGAAUGUAAUUAUAAAACUAAGUUGCAUGUGUUUUUGUAAAUUUAUCAGAAGGAAGUAUGCAAACAAAUAUGGUGACGUCAACUCUUGGUUAUUCAAGGAAUGAACAAGAACAACGAUUAAUUGCUUAGAGAUUCGAGUAAAAUGCGAGUAUAAAUUCAAUCCAAGCAAAGAGAUGAUCGCUUAAAUGAAAAGAAUAUUAUGGGUUUGAAUAUUGUUCCCAUCGUGCGUACUUGUACAAAAUAAAAAAUUCAACUUAAAGUACAGCUUUUCUAAAAAAUUUGGCAUACACCCACCCCCUACAUGUUUCUUAUUUUUGCUUCUCCUUUUUCCCAUGACAACUGGGAACGUGAAAUCAAAAAAUUCACUUCAAAUUAUGGACCUAAACUUCUUGCUGCUCAUGGUGUUUCACAAUUGGUAUUGAAAAUCAAUGGAGAAGUGGAGGAAAUGUGCGGAACAACAUGUCGGUCAAUACAGUGCAGCACGAAGCCUCUAACACGGAGUCGUUUCACAGUAUCAGAUUGCAAUAGCAGAAACAAUUGGUCUGGCACACUUGCUUUUUGAAAUUCUGGAACAGAACAUGAACAUUAACAGAACAGACGAUAACAAGAAGAGCCUGAAAUAUGUUCUUAUCUCCUGCAUUCCUAGUUCAAGCACCUCCAUCUUCUUUCCGUAUCUACUACUCCUCUCGACUAAGUACCCUUCAAGAUACUCAUCUAUGGAUACCCACUUGUCUAAUAAGGUGGGCACAGAAGACUUUGAAUAAUUUUCACCAAGCUGCUCUGGCCCCAAUUUAAAAAUUGUGAAAAAUGCAGCUGACCAUUCAUUGAGAACUCUCUGAAAGCGAAAAGAUUUAUACUGUUUUCAUUAACUGACCCUUCAAAUAUAUGCAGAAACUUAAAAGAUGACCAAAAAACUGACAUACAUUGAAGGUACCCAAUUCUGUGGGAUUGAACAUUUUGAAGCAAUCUCUUGAUGAGGCUGCUCCAUCUCCAUAUAUCUGAGUCACAACGAAAAAGGAUGCAAAUUUGUCUGGGUCAGGUUGCUUUAAGAUCAGAACUUUGAGGGGAAAAUGAGGGAUAACUUGACAAACCUCAAAGGUGAAAGCCAUUGGCACCUUUACAAUGUCGAACAUAAAAUCAGUUGCUGUCCCAUGUGCCAGGUACCUAGAAAUAAAACUUGAUGAAAAACCAUUUGAAAGAGUAAGCAUUGAAACCUAUGAGUUUGGCUCAUGAGGAGAAAUGUUGGCUCUUUUUUUUGGGGGGGGGGUGGGGGCUAAAGGUUAAUGAGCCAAAUAAAGCACUUAAAAUUUCAGUCGCAGCAGGGCUUAGCCUUGCAGUCCAGCUACCACCACAAAAGGUGGUUACGUAAAGAAUAGAAUCUGAUCUUAAAAUUUCAGGUAACGAUCAACUGAACAUUAUAAUAAUGACUUAGUAUUACUAACCCAACAGAACCUCCACCAGACCCAACCAUGCAACGCUUUUGGAAAUGCAGUUGGUUGAGUUCUUCAAGCAAUGACUUCAUCUGGUGGGAGGAAAGUCCAUCUGGGGUUGUGUUCUUAUGGUCAUACGGCAUAAAUAGAGCCUGAACAAACCAGAAGCUAUAUAAGAAAUGUAUCAUAUGCAGAGUACACAAACCCUAAGUUGAAAAGAAUAAAAAAUUGAGGAUCACUUUGACACUUCAAUGGUAAUUGGAAAAAGAACGUAAAAUUGUAUAAAGUGGCAAACCAUAGGGUGACAUUGCAUUUGGUAAAACGGAAUUACAUUAAUAAUUAACUUCAAAAAUGGUAGAUAUGACUUCGGAGUCAACAUGAGGGAAUACUAACUGAAAGUUUAUGUGACCUACCUCCAUCCCAGAGUGUAUAUUAAUCCAUAUGUGUGGAUCAAAUGACAUGGAAACUUUCCGCAUUAUCUGAGUUUCAGGCUCGCUGAAAGGAGCAGUUCCAGGAUGGAUCAUAAUCCUGGGAUAGAAAAACAAAAUAAAAGCAAAAGAAUAGUCUUAAGCACAAAAUAGAACCAGAACUGGAAUGACAGUUGAAUAUUGAAGUUAAGGAGACGAAGCAGGAAACAAUACGUGAAGCUCAUCAUCUAAUGGUGGGUUAUAUAUUAAGUGUAGUGCUAUAUAAUCUUAAAGAACAUCGACCUAAAGAAGACAUCUUAAUCAAUUCAAUACACUUAAAUGAUGAAAUAAACAAGCAACAUGAUAAAUGCAGUAUUGUAUGAUUAACCUUCUCUUUUUUUUCCCCAAUCCACGCUCCAAUUACGGUUGGGAUCAACUCCCCUCCCUGUCCAAUAUGCAAAUUAAGCAUUCAACAAUCUUUAUAAGAAGAGAUACAUAAAUCAAGGAUUCAUGCACAUAAACAGACAUAAAAUCUUGAAGAAUUACCACACACGGGAGCAUUUUACAGUUACCAUGCCAUCCGUGGAAAAAUCUCUUAUUAGUGUUCUUUCAUAUAAUAGGGGAGCAUUUGAUUGACAGAGAAUUCUAUUUAUAAUGGUGUCUGUGUGUCUCUGUGUGCGUGUGUGUGCAUAUAUAUUUUAGAUCCCAGAAAAUCAAUUGCUUUACCAUUUCUCCUCUCACAGAGGUCUCCUGCUUCAACAAGUCUACGGCCAUUUAAGUUUUCCAUCGGAACCACCUGACAUAAAAUAAGAUAUCAGAACUCAAAAAAUACCAAACUUGUUGAAGUAUCUCUCUCCAAAGAAAUAGCUAAGAAUUGCAGCACAUUACAAAAAUGUUACCUUUAUCAAGAGCUUGUCAAGGGUACUGUCUAAGGACACGGGGUCCAGGUUGGGUAGAAACUGUUCUUUACUCAAGAUUGAUAGGAUUCGUAAUGCAAGCUCGGAUGUAAUAAGCUCCCUUCCAUGCUGCCCAAAACUCUGGAAGACAAGGAAUCAUCUGUCAAAAACACCAGCCAUUACCAAUCUGAGAUUAUCUAUGACCAUAAACAGCCAGCCCACUAUGCAAAAUAUAGUCAGAACGAAUUCAGCGUAUAAUAAAACAUGAAAAAAAAACUUACAAGAAGGAUCCGUAACUUUGGCUGGUCAUCAGUCUCUUGCCUUCUCCGGCAAUAGGUAACUAUUGCGAUCUCAGCAGAGUAGCCCUUGUUUCGAGAUUUCAUUGUAUCCAACUGCCAUUAACAUCAAAGUAUUGGAAUAUGAAAUGAAUUUCAGAAAAAUGAUCAGACUCUCAAGCAGAGGAAACCUACAGUGAGCUCGUCUGGGUGCCGAAAGACGAGAGCUUUAAUUUCUUCCAUCAAAUCCCCACUGCAGACAAAUAUGCAUUUAUUGUAGAUGAUGUUUUCGGGGUUAAAUUAAAUUGGCUGAGGAAUUCAUAACAAGUUCACAUGAUCAAAGUAAGGCAAAUAAUUGAAAGGUGAGGGAGGGAAUAGCCAAGGUUCCCUACAACUUGUGACCAACCUAACCAACCAUAGAGUCAGAAAACAAGAAAUUAUAGAAAGAAACAGAAAACCCAUCUCAAGAUUUAACCAAAAAUACAUGAAUCAACCAGUAACUACCAUUCGGUACAAUCCGCAGAAGGCAGAUGAGAUUAAUCAGUCAAAAUACAUGAUUAGUGCAAAAAGAUUGGAAUAAAGUAAAGAAAUAAAACAAAUUGAGAAAGAAAGUAGAGGUGACCUGGAAUGGUAGAGAUCGCGGUUCAUGGGGGUGAGAGAAGAAGGAUUGGUGAUGUUAUUAGUAUUGCCAUGGACGACCAAGAAAGCUUGCAACCACGCAAAGAAGCAGAGAGUGAUGGAUAAAGGAGAGGAGAGAGGAAGGAGAUGAGCCAUGGCAUUGGCAAUCAUCGGAGGAACAAGGAGAUGAGCCAUGGUUUGGGUUUUCAUUAUUCCAUUAUUUAUUAUAUUCUCUCUUUUCUUUGGAGCUGUGGAUGGUCAAUGGUUCAAUGGUCAUGGUGGCAAAAUGGCAUAAGAAUAAAACAAAAAAAACAGGGGAAAGAUAAGGGUUGUAUUGUCUUUUGGUCUCUUGAUUAUUAUUCCAUUUUUCACGUUCGACGGUCUUGAUGAUAUUGAUACCUCCGCAGCGCUCCACUUACAUUACAUUUUAGGGUUAUAUACAAUUUCGAACAAGAUACACUCCAAAUUCCAAAACAACACAAAAUAUGGGGAUUUGAUGAUUGGAGUUGAUUAUAAUCAUUUAUCCAUGUUCAUGUCUAAUUCAAAAAUGACACACAUAAACAUGUAUACGUGUAAUUGUAUAACUAGUUAAGCUAUAUAUAACAUAUAUAUUAUAAUUACUCAAAAUUCGCGUAUAGUUUCACUUGUGUUUUCAUGUAAUGGGCUCAUUGAUCGUUGCAAUCAAUGGUCAGGUCAUUUUUUAUCUUCCCGGCAAGCGGGUAAAACCCAAUCAAGAUCUCCGACAAAGACGUCUUCAGAGCAUGCAACCUUUUCAUGAUUGUGGCAUCAUCAUCGUCUUCAUCGUUGUUGUCUUCAAGAUCAUCAUCUUCAAGGAAAGUGAUAGUAGUGCAGGGUCUUAUGAUGUAGGAGUAUCAUAAUAGUAUAAGAAUUGUCAUAAAAGAGGAUAAUGGGAGCAAGGGAGCAUGUAUGAGUUGAUCCAAAAGGGAAAGCUUAAAAAUUCUUAGGUGGGAGGGUGUUGGGGAAGAUGGUUUAAUUCUCUCUUUGGAAAAAAUUUCCACUUCCAUUUUCAUCAUCAACGUAGUAUGGUGUGUACUUUUGUUUGACAAUUUCUUAAUUUAAAAUAAAAAUAAAUGUUAAAAAGAAAAAAUCUUGGAGGUUUCAACUACCUAGUUUAUAACUCUCUUUACUAAUCUCAAGUAUCUUGAAAUUCCAACUUUCAUACCUAAAGUUUUUUUUGUCCCACUUUCAUACCUAAAGUUUGAAUUUUGUGAUACUUUCAUACUUUGUUAGCCUUUCUGUCAAGGCUCUGUUAUUUGCCUACAUGGACGUCGCAGAACACAUAAUAUUUGAGCCAAGUGGAUAAAAUAGAAAAAGAAUUACCUAACAAAAUUACUACCAUUUUUAUCCACGUGGCACAAAAUAUUAUGCAAUCAUCGACGUUCAUAUAAGUAGACGAAAGUGUGAAAGUGUCACAAAACUCAAACUUUAGAUAUGAAAGUGAGACGAAAAAAGCUUUUGGUAUGAAAGUUGAAAAUUAACGAUAUUUGAAAGUGGUAAGUGACAAUUUUUCCUAAUGGCUUAAUGCUAGCGAAACUAAAUUUGUAGACAAAAUUUACAAACUAAAUGAUGUGUCAUCAAUAGGAAUGAGUUUGUUUAUCAACGCUUAAGUCAUAAUCCAAUCAUCAACUUCCAUGUCAUAAUCCAAUCAUCAACUUCCAUGUCAUUCUGAAUUUUUGAUAUGUUAUGAAAGAGACGAUGAGGCACAACUUCAAUGAAGAAAGCAUGCUGAUCUGAACAAUAGAAAAUGGAGUUUCGAAGCUCACAACAAAUCUGACGGGUUGACAGACAAAUGAUAAACAGUCACUCAUCAUACCUGGAUUUCUGGAGUUAUACUGCUCCGAGGGACCUCAAAUUUGGAUAUGUUGUAGUUCACAAGUUAAGGAACAACUUCGAUGAAGAAAGUAUGUUGAUCUGAACAAGAGAAAAUGGAGUUUCGAAGCUCACAACAAGUCUGACAGGUUGACAGAAAAAUGAUGAACAGUCACUCAUCAUACCUGAAUUUCUGGAUUUGUACUGCUCCGAUGGAUCUCAAAUUUGGAUAUGUUGUAGCUGACAAGGUGAGGAACAACUUCGAUGAAGAAAGUAUGUUGAGAUGAACAAGAAAAAAUGGAGUUUAGAAGCUCACAACAAGUCUGACGGGUUAACAGAAAAUUGAUGAACAGUUACUCAUCAUACCUGAAUUUCUGGAGUUGUACUACUCCGAUGGAUCUCAAAUUUGGAGAUGUUGUAGUUCACAAGAUAAGGAACAACUUUCAUGAAGACGACUUUGCGAUCUGAGCUAUAGAGAAUGGUGUUAUCUUGCAUCCACUCAGGCUGAUUAGUGGAAACGAAAAGCAAUUCCACCAAAGAAAAGAUGAAAAAGAGAGAAAAGCUACUAAUUGCACUUGAUCUUGUCUAGUCAAUAGCAUGCAGCAUCAAACACACACAAAAGUUGGAAAUGUUUUUAGAUAAGGCAUAUGCGAAUGUGUGACAUCGAAACAAGGAUUCGUUACUUUGACAAAUUAGUAACAAGCGAGACACCUCAUUCGGCAACUCUCUUCGCCUGAAGACUUGGGGGACUCCCACCAUAUGCUACUGCACCUUAAUACUCGGCAGUCUCACAACCACUCAGUGACUUGGAUUUUUCAAGUCUCCAACCGAGAAGUUUUCCUCACUCGGGAAAUUAAGGGAAACACUACCUCAAACUACAUGUUUCACUCACAAAGCUUCAACAAUACAGGUUUCAACAAAAGCAAAAAUUCAAAGAACUUUAUGAAGAAGGCUUUGGUGUAUUUAACACAAUAUAUUGAAAUGAAGCAAAGCUUAUUUAUUAAUAUUUUCGAUAAGCCACAAAUAUGUACAUAUACAUGAGUCAAAAAUAAACAAACAAAAGGGAGCCUUCACAAAGGUUGCUUAGGGGAAGUCUCAGCAGUCGGUAGAGCCCCAGAAAGAGAAAGCACCGGAGGGUGGUUAUCCGGAGCCUCAGUACUUGACAAAACCCCAGAAGGAGGAGGCAUUGGAGGUUCAUCAUUUGAAGCUUCAUUACCAGGUACAGCCCCAGAGGACGAAGGCAAUAAAUGCCUUUGGAACAAACCCACAAACCGAUGAUGAUCAAGUAAAACCUUACCAUCAGAUUCCUUCAUCUGGUCAAGCUUCCUCUUCAUGUUUGUAGCAUAGUCAUGGGCGAGCCGGUGCAACUGCUUAUUCUCAUGCUUGAGCCCUCUAAUCUCCUGUUUGAGACUCAUCACUUCAGCAGCCAAUGAUUCAACUUGGUGGGUUCUAGCAAAUAGGCGUUAGGCCAUAUUAGACACAGAACCUGCACACUGAACACUAAGAGCCAGAGAGUCCUUAACAGCCAAC
Molecule: long non-coding RNA, 16393 nt
Filed under: Malus domestica (apple)
Lineage: Eukaryota; Viridiplantae; Streptophyta; Magnoliopsida; Rosales; Rosaceae
Description: long non-coding RNA (MDOM_LNC011019)
Source: RNAcentral